RNAcentral lists this ribosomal RNA (391 nucleotides) under Paracalanus sp. Its description in RNAcentral is "partial small subunit ribosomal RNA". It matches the Rfam family "Eukaryotic small subunit ribosomal RNA", at positions 582 to 975 of the family's 1831-position model. Lineage: Eukaryota; Metazoa; Arthropoda; Copepoda; Calanoida; Paracalanidae. The record is from RNAcentral.
AUUCCAGCUCCAAUAGCGUAUAUUAAAGUUGUUGUGGUUAAAAAGCUCGUAGUUGGAUCUCAACAGCCUUGAAGCGGUUAACUUUGUAGUUUUACUGCUUUAUAGGCUGUGCUUUUGCUGGAGGUUUAGGGGUGCUCUUGAUCGAGUGUCUCUGGAUGCCAGCAGGUUUACUUUGAAAAAAUUAGAGUGCUCAAAGCAGGCUAAAAUGCCUGAAUAUUCGUGCAUGGAAUAAUAGAAUAGGAUGUCGAUCCUAUUUUGUUGGUUUUCGGGACUCGACAUAAUGAUAAAUAGGGACAGUCGGGGGCAUUUGUAUUCAAACGACAGAGGUGAAAUUCUUGGACCGUUUGAAGACAAACUACUGCGAAAGCAUUUGCCAAGAAUGUUUUCAUCG